GAGUGAGGGAAGCAAGGAAAUGAGCAUAGUUUUUGAAGCAGUUCUCUAGGCCUGCCCUCUUUGAUGUCUUUUGGCUUUGAUUUGGGGGUGUGGUUCUACGACAUAUUG
Rhododendron vialii is the source of this 108-nucleotide small nucleolar RNA. RefSeq annotates it as small nucleolar RNA snoR100. The transcript has a single exon. NCBI's taxonomy places the organism in Eukaryota, Viridiplantae, Streptophyta, Magnoliopsida, Ericales, Ericaceae. The record is from RefSeq and is a predicted model, not a curated record.